Molecule: non-coding RNA, 72 nt
Organism: Castor canadensis (American beaver)
Lineage: Eukaryota; Metazoa; Chordata; Mammalia; Rodentia; Castoridae
Source: the annotation of a RefSeq genome assembly
GGUGGAGUGGCUCAGUGGUAGAGUGCUUGCCUACCAAGUAUGAGGCCCUGAGUUCAAACCCCAGUACCACCA